GCCUUCGUGAUGUAAUUGGAUAGCAUAUCCGGCUAGUAAUCGGGUGGUCCUGUGUUCGAAUCUCGGCAUAGACA
This 74-nucleotide transfer RNA is filed under the name Stegodyphus mimosarum. It matches the Rfam family "tRNA". Rfam says of the family: Transfer RNA (tRNA) molecules are approximately 80 nucleotides in length. Their secondary structure includes four short double-helical elements and three loops (D, anti-codon, and T loops). Lineage: Eukaryota; Metazoa; Arthropoda; Arachnida; Araneae; Eresidae. The record is from Rfam by way of RNAcentral.